Molecule: long non-coding RNA, 317 nt
Filed under: Ictidomys tridecemlineatus (thirteen-lined ground squirrel)
Lineage: Eukaryota; Metazoa; Chordata; Mammalia; Rodentia; Sciuridae
Description: lncRNA (ENSSTOG00000031227.1)
Source: RNAcentral
GCCCAGCUAGACCAGAUCCGGGGCAGCAGCAUCCUGUCACCUCUUGUUAUAGCUUUCUACCUUGGGGGAGCUCUUAGCUACACCAGUGAGCAGCUGGUCCUGAGACAGGAGAUACCGUGCCUAGUGCUUUCUUGAUCGGCACAGAAGGGAGCUCUCCAAGCAGUCCCUGGGGAGCAACUGCUGUGUGCCUGGACCCUCUGCAGCAACCUACAGGUCAAUCGUGAGCUGUGAAUGUGACAGGGCCCCAAACGUGUGCUCCCGUCCUGCAGUUUCAAAGCCAAGGAUGCAGGCCAGGUGAGGUGGCACAUGCCUGUAAU